GGUUCAUUCAAAUUUCUGCCCUAUCAACUUUCGAUGGUAGGAUAUAGGCCUACCAUGGUUUCAACGGGUAACGGGGAAUUAGGGUUCGAUUCCGGAGAGGGAGCCUGAGAAACGGCUGCCACAUCUAAGGAAGGCAGCAGGCGCGCAAAUUACCCAAUCCCGACCGGGGAGGUAGUGACAAUAAAUACUGAUGCAGGGGGUUUAUACCUCUUGUAAUUGGAAUGAGUACAAUUUAAAUCUCUUAACGAGGAACAAUUGGAGGGCAAGUCUGGUGCCAGCAGCCGCGGUAAUUCCAGCUCCAAUAGCGUAUAUUAAAGUUGUUGCAGUUAAAAAGCUCGUAGUUG
Molecule: ribosomal RNA, 344 nt
Filed under: uncultured fungus
Lineage: Eukaryota; Fungi
Description: SSU rRNA
Rfam family: Eukaryotic small subunit ribosomal RNA
Source: RNAcentral